GCCAGGCGCAGUGGCACAUGCCUAUAGUCCCAGUUACUCGGGAGGCUGAGGUGGGAGGAUCGCUUGAGCCCAGGAGUUCUGGGCUGUAGUGUGCUAUGCCAAUCAGGUGUCCACACUAAGUUCGGCAUCAAUAUGGUGACCUCCCGGGAGCGGGGAGCCACCAGGUUGCCUAAGGAGGGGAGAACCGGCCCAGGUCGAAAACGGAGCAGGUCAAACUCCCGUGCUGAUCAGUAGUGGGAUCACACCUGUGAACAGCCACUGCACUCCAGCCUGGGCAACACUGUGAGACCCCGUCUCU
Molecule: signal recognition particle RNA, 298 nt
Filed under: Cebus imitator (Panamanian white-faced capuchin)
Lineage: Eukaryota; Metazoa; Chordata; Mammalia; Primates; Cebidae
Description: Metazoan signal recognition particle RNA (ENSCCAG00000008972.1)
Rfam family: Metazoan signal recognition particle RNA
About the family: The signal recognition particle (SRP) is a universally conserved ribonucleoprotein. It is involved in the co-translational targeting of proteins to membranes.
Source: RNAcentral